Molecule: non-coding RNA, 29 nt
Filed under: Rattus norvegicus (Norway rat)
Lineage: Eukaryota; Metazoa; Chordata; Mammalia; Rodentia; Muridae
Source: RNAcentral
UGAACUACCCAGACUCUAUUGAGUAAGCC